CAGCCGCCGCGGUAAUACGGAGGGGGCUAGCGUUAUUCGGAAUUACUGGGCGUAAAGCGCACGUAGGCGGCUUCGCAAGUCAGAGGUGAAAGCCUGGAGCUCAACUCCAGAAUUGCCUUUGAGACUGCGUCGCUCGAAUCCGGGAGAGGUGAGUGGAAUUCCGAGUGUAGAGGUGAAAUUCGUAGAUAUUCGGAAGAACACUAGUGGCGAAGGCGGCUCACUGGACCGGCAUUGACGCUGAGGUGCGAAAGCGUGGGGAGCAAACAGGAUUAGAGACCCCAGUAGUCCCUGUCUCUUAUAC
Molecule: ribosomal RNA, 301 nt
Filed under: uncultured bacterium
Lineage: Bacteria
Description: partial 16S ribosomal RNA
Rfam family: Bacterial small subunit ribosomal RNA
Source: RNAcentral